CGGGCGGGACGGGUGAGUAACGCGUGGGUAACCUACCCUGUACACACGGAUAACAUACCGAAAGGUAUGCUAAUACGGGAUAAUAUAUUUGAGAGGCAUCUCUUGAAUAUCAAAGGUGAGCCAGUACAGGAUGGACCCGCGUCUGAUUAGCUAGUUGGUAAGGUAACGGCUUACCAAGGCGACGAUCAGUAGCCGACCUGAGAGGGUGAUCGGCCACAUUGGAACUGAGACACGGUCCAA
RNAcentral lists this ribosomal RNA (240 nucleotides) under uncultured bacterium. Its description in RNAcentral is "partial 16S ribosomal RNA". It matches the Rfam family "Bacterial small subunit ribosomal RNA", at positions 100 to 334 of the family's 1533-position model. The record is from RNAcentral.